Chenopodium quinoa (quinoa) is the source of this 844-nucleotide long non-coding RNA. RefSeq lists it as uncharacterized. The record is from RefSeq and is a predicted model, not a curated record. The transcript is spliced from 3 exons. NCBI's taxonomy places the organism in Eukaryota, Viridiplantae, Streptophyta, Magnoliopsida, Caryophyllales, Amaranthaceae.
AUUGGCUCCAGUGACAGUGACGAAGAAGAGGACAUCGAUGUAUUUUUAGAUGACACUAGUGAUAGUAAUAAUGAUAGUGAUAAUGAUAGUGGUAGUAGUGAUAAGAGUAAUGAAGAGGAGAAUAUGUAGUUACUCCUUUUACUAUUGUCUUCGAAUGUUUAGUUUUUAAUGACUACUCGGACUUGUAAUAUUGCAUUACAUUUUUGGUCUCAUUUUAUUAUUUUAAUGUCUUAGGAUCUAAUUUAUGAAUUUACAAUGUGCGAUUAUGGUACUAACAACUUUUUCAGGUGGUCAUCAUGGGAGGAGGAAAUAAAGGAGAAACGUCCAAGAGGAGAAAGUCUAAGGGGAAAUCUCCAGUUGUACGUGUUGACGAGGAUGAGUCAAUGGAGGAAGAGGAUGCACAUGAUUUGGGGGCCUCUCAUGAAAUCGUCAGAAAUGUACAAGGGUAACAGGAGCAACAACAGCAUCAGGAACAGGAGCUACAGGACCCGCAUCCUAAUGACUUGCUAGAGUUGGACCCUUCCACACUUUGGUUUGAUGAUAGGCCGGUGAAGAAUGUGCUCUCCGACUCGCUAACCGGCUACUAUGUUCAGCCUUGGAGGAAUUAUGGAGAGGUUGAUGAAGAUUCGAGAGAGCACUUUUGGAACUUGUUCAACAAAAAAUUCAAGUGGGCACCUGAGUUAAACAACCAAGUGAAGGACACUUUCGAAGAAAAGUUUGCAAAUCGCCUACGUGACACGUUCUACAACAUCACACACAGGCUGAAUGGUCACAAACCAAGAUGGCUUAAUAAGGAUGUCCACGAAGGCAUGAUGAAAAUUGUUGCCACCGAUCCAAAAUAUCA